Non-coding RNA from Danio rerio (zebrafish), 281 nucleotides. Lineage: Eukaryota; Metazoa; Chordata; Actinopteri; Cypriniformes; Danionidae. The record is from RefSeq and is a predicted model, not a curated record.
GACUUUUCCGUUCAGGUGCAGCAGGUUUGUAGGAAGAUUGAGGCAUUUUUCUCUGUUUCCAGCUUCUGGAAUCUUCCAAAAGUGACCGUUUCCAUUUUCCCUGUCAUUUUCCUCAUCAUCUCAUGCAGACUGCUUGGCCAGAAGUGGUGACGAAGGACAAAUUUAAGGUGACAUGCUGCAGAUCCACCUGGCAAACCACACAGUCUGGGCCUGACAUGAAGCUGACUCAACAGUGUCCCAACAGCUGAUGUAAUGCUGGCCUGCUGCAGAAUGUGUUUGCA